This 823-nucleotide ribosomal RNA is filed under the name uncultured Staphylococcus sp. Its description in RNAcentral is "bacterial SSU rRNA". It matches the Rfam family "Bacterial small subunit ribosomal RNA", at positions 87 to 896 of the family's 1533-position model. Lineage: Bacteria; Bacillati; Bacillota; Bacilli; Caryophanales; Staphylococcaceae. The record is from RNAcentral.
UGACGUUAGCGGCGGACGGGUGAGUAACACGUGGAUAACCUACCUAUAAGACUGGGAUAACUUCGGGAAACCGGAGCUAAUACCGGAUAAUAUAUUGAACCGCAUGGUUCAAUAGUGAAAGACGGUUUUGCUGUCACUUAUAGAUGGAUCCGCGCCGCAUUAGCUAGUUGGUAAGGUAACGGCUUACCAAGGCAACGAUGCGUAGCCGACCUGAGAGGGUGAUCGGCCACACUGGAACUGAGACACGGUCCAGACUCCUACGGGAGGCAGCAGUAGGGAAUCUUCCGCAAUGGGCGAAAGCCUGACGGAGCAACGCCGCGUGAGUGAUGAAGGUCUUCGGAUCGUAAAACUCUGUUAUUAGGGAAGAACAAAUGUGUAAGUAACUAUGCACGUCUUGACGGUACCUAAUCAGAAAGCCACGGCUAACUACGUGCCAGCAGCCGCGGUAAUACGUAGGUGGCAAGCGUUAUCCGGAAUUAUUGGGCGUAAAGCGCGCGUAGGCGGUUUUUUAAGUCUGAUGUGAAAGCCCACGGCUCAACCGUGGAGGGUCAUUGGAAACUGGAAAACUUGAGUGCAGAAGAGGAAAGUGGAAUUCCAUGUGUAGCGGUGAAAUGCGCAGAGAUAUGGAGGAACACCAGUGGCGAAGGCGACUUUCUGGUCUGUAACUGACGCUGAUGUGCGAAAGCGUGGGGAUCAAACAGGAUUAGAUACCCUGGUAGUCCACGCCGUAAACGAUGAGUGCUAAGUGUUAGGGGGUUUCCGCCCCUUAGUGCUGCAGCUAACGCAUUAAGCACUCCGCCUGGGGAGUACGACCGCAAGGUUG